RNAcentral lists this unclassified non-coding RNA (235 nucleotides) under Helotiales sp. RNAcentral describes it as "partial contains 5.8S ribosomal RNA, internal transcribed spacer 2, and large subunit ribosomal RNA". The record is from RNAcentral. Lineage: Eukaryota; Fungi; Ascomycota; Leotiomycetes; Helotiales.
CGCACAUUGCGCCCUCUGGUAUUCCGGGGGGCAUGCCUGUUCGAGCGUCAUUACAACCCUCAAGCUCUGCUUGGUAUUGGGCGUCACCGCUUUGGUGCACCCUAAAAUCAGUGGCGGUGUCACCUGGCUCCUAGCGUAGUAAUACUUCUCGCUAUUGAGCUUAGGUGUAUGCUUGCCAUCAACCCCAAUUUCAAAGGUUGACCUCGGAUCAGGUAGGGAUACCCGCUGAACUUAA